This 537-nucleotide ribosomal RNA is filed under the name uncultured bacterium. RNAcentral's name for it is "bacterial SSU rRNA". It matches the Rfam family "Bacterial small subunit ribosomal RNA", at positions 355 to 895 of the family's 1533-position model. The record is from RNAcentral.
UGAGGAAUAUUGGUCAAUGGGCGAGAGCCUGAACCAGCCAAGUAGCGUGCAGGAUGACGGCCCUAUGGGUUGUAAACUGCUUUUGUAUGGGGAUAAAGUCAGUCACGUGUGAUUGUUUGCAGGUACCAUACGAAUAAGGACCGGCUAAUUCCGUGCCAGCAGCCGCGGUAAUACGGAAGGUCCGGGCGUUAUCCGGAUUUAUUGGGUUUAAAGGGAGCGUAGGCUGGAGAUUAAGUGUGUUGUGAAAUGUAGACGCUCAACGUCUGACUUGCAGCGCAUACUGGUUUCCUUGAGUACGCACAACGUUGGCGGAAUUCGUCGUGUAGCGGUGAAAUGCUUAGAUAUGACGAAGAACUCCGAUUGCGAAGGCAGCUGACGGGAGCGCAACUGACGCUGAAGCUCGAAGGUGCGGGUAUCGAACAGGAUUAGAUACCCUGGUAGUCCGCACAGUAAACGAUGGAUGCCCGCUGUUGGUACGUGGUAUCAGCGGCUAAGCGAAAGCAUUAAGCAUCCCACCUGGGGAGUACGCCGGCCGGU